UUCUGUAGAUAAGCCCCAGUUACAUAUCCAAUUACAUAUCUGUAAUUGGAGCCAGUCUGCAGAAGC
This is a microRNA precursor of Bos grunniens (domestic yak), 66 nucleotides long. Lineage: Eukaryota; Metazoa; Chordata; Mammalia; Artiodactyla; Bovidae. The record is from Ensembl.